UGGGGGCUCGUACAAUGGCAGUACUGCACACUCUGGAUGUGCAUAUAGAGGUUCGAAUCCUUUGCCCUCAGCCU
Molecule: transfer RNA, 74 nt
Filed under: Anaerolinea sp.
Lineage: Bacteria; Bacillati; Chloroflexota; Anaerolineae; Anaerolineales; Anaerolineaceae
Also listed under: 4 other names
Description: tRNA-Gln
Rfam family: tRNA
About the family: Transfer RNA (tRNA) molecules are approximately 80 nucleotides in length.
Source: RNAcentral